CUGGGUCAGCUCCCAGCUUUGUUUCCUUUUCAUAGCCUGAAAAUGCAGUGACUACCAACCAGCUUGUGACAAAGCUGAACCUGCCAGAAGAGGCUUCAGCAUUUGAAAAAUAUUGCUUCCUAUGAAGAAAGUAGAAAUGAGGGCUCUUAAAUCAGCAGAAAUCCAGUCCCUGAUAGUGCAAGCUGUGCCUUUAUCAGCUUCUCCAGAUACUCCCUUUAUAUGAUUCAAGGAAGAACCUGUGCCAUUUGUAUUCCUGCCAUUGAUGUUAUGCUUCUUUUUGCAGAGAAAGGUAAGAGUGUCAUCCAAAACAAAGUAGAAGCUUGAACUCACCUCUGCAAAGUUCUUUCAAAUUAGAAACUUCCUUCAGAGAAAAUGAACUGAUGAAUACAGAGUGGAAAUCUUAUUCAGAUCAUCAGGAACCGUGUGGAAAAGAACUGUUCUGUGCCAGGUGUGAGAAUUGCAAAAUCUCUAAAGCUGGAAAUAAAAUGGAAAAGAUUUGCAGUGCCCGUUGGAGAGGUGAAGACUUAUAGCACUUUGCACCAAAGACUGCUAUUUUAAGGGUUGUCAAAAGCACUGUGGAAGUGACAAAGGUAAGGCUGA
RNAcentral lists this long non-coding RNA (600 nucleotides) under Cyanistes caeruleus (blue tit). RNAcentral describes it as "lncRNA (ENSCCEG00000000987.1)". Lineage: Eukaryota; Metazoa; Chordata; Aves; Passeriformes; Paridae. The record is from RNAcentral.